This 495-nucleotide ribosomal RNA is filed under the name uncultured bacterium. Its description in RNAcentral is "partial 16S ribosomal RNA". It matches the Rfam family "Bacterial small subunit ribosomal RNA", at positions 29 to 507 of the family's 1533-position model. The record is from RNAcentral.
AUGAACGCUGGCGGCGUGCCUAAUCCAUGCCAGUCGAGCGAACGGACGAGAAGCUUGCUUCUCUGAUGUUAGCGGCGGACGGGUGAGUAACACGUGGAUAACCUACCUAUAAGACUGGGAUAACUUCGGGAAACCGGAGCUAAUACCGGAUAAUAUUUUGAACCGCAUGGUUCAAAAGUGAAAGACGGUCUUGCUGUCACUUAUAGAUGGAUCCGCGCUGCAUUAGCUAGUUGGUAAGGUACGGCUUACCAAGGCAACGAUGCAUAGCCGACCUGAGAGGGUGAUCGGCCACACUGGAACUGAGACACGGUCCAGACUCCUACGGGAGGCAGCAGUAGGGAAUCUUCCGCAAUGGGCGAAAGCCUGACGGAGCAACGCCGCGUGAGUGAUGAAGGUCUUCGGAUCGUAAAACUCUGUUAUUAGGGAAGAACAUAUGUGUAAGUAACUGUGCACAUCUUGACGGUACCUAAUCAGAAAGCCACGGCUAACUACGUG